This 87-nucleotide ribosomal RNA is filed under the name Erysiphe oleosa. Its description in RNAcentral is "partial 5.8S ribosomal RNA". It matches the Rfam family "5.8S ribosomal RNA", at positions 67 to 153 of the family's 154-position model. From Rfam's summary of the family: 5.8S ribosomal RNA (5.8S rRNA) is a component of the large subunit of the eukaryotic ribosome. The record is from RNAcentral. Lineage: Eukaryota; Fungi; Ascomycota; Leotiomycetes; Helotiales; Erysiphaceae.
GUGAAUUGCAGAAUCUAGUGAAUCAUCGAAUCUUUGAACGGACAUUGCGCCCCUUGGUAUUCCGAGGGGCAUGCCUGUUCGAGCGUC